UUUUUCUUUUCUUUUUUUCAGAGCUGGGGACCGAACCCAGGGCCUUGCGCUUGCUAGACAAGCGCUCUAUACCACUGAGCUAAAUCCCCAACCCCUAUUCAUUUUUUCAAAUGCAGUAAUGACUUAUUUUUAACAUUCUUAAAAAUGAAGCUAGAGACAGUUCAGCAAGAAAACAAACUUGUAGAUGCCUUGUGACCUGAAUGGCAUCCCUAGAAGCCCAGAAAGUGGGAGAUUUUACGAGUGUCCCCGACAUGCACAUCUGCACCACGUCCACACUGCAGCACAUGUACCUCUGCCUCACUGUGCACACACAUCAAUAUAAACACAAUUUUAAGAAAAGAAGGGAAAAACUGGAAACAUUUCAAACAUAACAUUAUUCCAGAAAAUGAAAGUACACUAAAGAAAAACUCAUGUCCUUUAGAGCAAUGCUGUCUCCUCACCAGUGUCUGAAUAGAAGUUGGACAGAUAAGACAGGUCAGAGAAUGUCACUGUUGUGAACACAGGCAUAGAAGGGCUUUGGAAGUUUCAACCUUCACAUGCAGCAAGAGACACCCACCACCAGCAAGAGACAGAUUGUUGGCUGUCCUAUUAAGAAUGAGACUAAACGGGGUUGGGGAUUUAGCUCAGUGGUAGAGCCCUUGCCUAGGAAGCGCAAGGCCCUGGGUUCGGUCCCCAGCUCCAAAAAAAAGAACAAAAAAAAAAAAAA
This 706-nucleotide long non-coding RNA is filed under the name Rattus norvegicus (Norway rat). Its description in RNAcentral is "long non-coding RNA NONRATT016162". Lineage: Eukaryota; Metazoa; Chordata; Mammalia; Rodentia; Muridae. The record is from RNAcentral.